CUUUUUAGAUGGCGACCGGCGCACGGGGUGAGUAACACGUAUCCAACCUGCCUCAUACUCGGGGGAUAGCCUUUCGAAAGAAAGAUUAAUACCCCGAUGUCAUAGUCCUACCGCAUGAUGGGAUUAUUAAAGAAUUUCGGUAUGGGAUGGGGAUGCGUUCCAUUAGUUAGUUGGCGGGGGUAACGGCCCACCAAGACAACGAUGGAUAGGGGUUCUGAGAGGAAGGUCCCCCACAUUGGAACUGAGACACGGUCCAAACUCCUACGGGAGGCAGCAG
RNAcentral lists this ribosomal RNA (277 nucleotides) under uncultured bacterium. RNAcentral's name for it is "partial 16S ribosomal RNA". It matches the Rfam family "Bacterial small subunit ribosomal RNA", at positions 77 to 354 of the family's 1533-position model. The record is from RNAcentral.